ACCCGCUGGACUUAAGCAUAUCACUAAGCGGAGGAAAAGAAACUAACUAGGAUGGCCUCAGUAACGGCGAGUGAAGCGGCCAAAGCCCAAGAUGGAAAUCUGCGUGCUGUGCACGUCGAAUUGUAAUCUAGAGAUGCCAUGCUCACCGGGGAGUGGCGCAGAAGUGCCCUGGAACGGGCCGCCAAAGAGGGUGACAGCCCCGUCUGUGGUGCCGCUGCCUAACGAGCAGGUAUUCAAAGAGUCGGGUUGUUUGGUAUUGCAGCCCUAAGUGGGAGAUAAACUUCUUCUAAGGCUAAAUAUAUGUGGGAAACCGAUAGCGAACAAGUACUGUGAAGGAAAGAUGAAAAGCACUUUGAAAAGAGAGUCAAAAGACCUGAAACCGUUGAGGAGGAAGCGGUAGAGAUGAAUUCUAAGGCGAGGCAUACAAUGGCCUAACCAACGUGUUGGGGAAGUCAUUUUGCGGCGUCUUGAGGCCGGAUGGGGUGACGUGAGCACAGAGGCCUUCUAGGAAUGGUUUGGCUUGCCAGGCAGCCUGGGAGUGCCGGUGGACACGUGGCCUGAGGGUGCUUAGUGCGAUCCGGUCAAAAUGGUCUUUACCGGCCCGUCUUGAAACACGGACCAAGGAGUCUAACGUACGUGCGAGUGUGCCGGUGGAGAAACCGACACGCGUAAUGAAAGUGAAAGAUGCCAAGCGCAAGCAGCAGCAUCGACCGACCAUGAUCCUCUGGUGAAAGGUUUGAGUAAGAGCACGUCCGCUAGGACCCGAAAGAUGGUGAACUAUGCCUGCGUAGGGUGAAGUCAGGGGAAACUCUGAUGGAGGCUCGAAGCGAUACUGACGUGCAAAUCGUUCGUCGAACGUGGGUAUAGGGGCGAAAGACUAAUCGAACCAUCUAGUAGCUGGUUCCCUCCGAAGUUUCCCUCAGGAUAGCUGGGACAAUUGCGCAGUUUUAUUAGGUAAAGCGAAUGAUUAGAGGAAUCGGGGGCUACUUGCCCUCGACCUAUUCUCAAACUUUAAAUUGGUAAGAACCCGGGCCUAUCUUAAGUGAGGCUCCGGGGCUCAAUGCGUGUCCUUAGUGGGCCAUUUUUGGUAAGCAGAACUGGCGAUGAGGGAUGCUCCUAACGUCGGGAUAAGGCGCCAAACUGCGCGCUCAUCAGAAACUACAAAGGGUGUUAGUCCAUCCAGACAGCAGGACGGUGGCCAUGGAAGUCGGAACCUGCUAAGGAGUGUGUAACAACUCACCUGCCGAAUGGACUAGCCCCGAAAAUGGAUGGCGCUAAAGCGCGCGGCCGAUACCCGACCAUCGCCACGAGAGUGAGGUGGCGAUGAGUAGGAGGGCGUGGGCGUUGUAGAGAAGCCUCUGGCGUGAGCCUGGGUAGAACAGCGUCUAGUGCAGAUCUUGGUGGUAGUAGCAAUUAUUCAAAUGAGAAUUUUGAAGGCCGAAGUGGAGAAGGUUUCCGUGAGAACAGCAAUUGGUCACGGGUGACUCGAUCCUAAGACAUGGGGGAAGUCCCUGUUAAGUGCGCGCUUGCGCGUAGUCGAAAGGGAAUGAGGUUAAUAUUCCUCAAGCUGGAUGUGGGUGUUGUAUGGCAACAUAAGUGAGCCUGGGAACGCCGGCGCGAGCCUCUGGAAGAGUUCUCUUUUCUUUUUAACAGACUAGCGGCCCUGAAAUGGGAUUACCUCGAGCUAGGGCGGCAUGUCUGGAAGAGCGCCUCGCUUUCCGAGGCGUCAGGUGCGUUCGCGACGGUCCGUGAAAACCCAGGUGAGAUAGUUUCACACCAGGUCGUACCCAUAACCGCAUCAGGUCUCCAAGGUU
This 1814-nucleotide ribosomal RNA is filed under the name Novistrombidium orientale. RNAcentral describes it as "LSU rRNA". It matches the Rfam family "Eukaryotic large subunit ribosomal RNA", at positions 23 to 1874 of the family's 3401-position model. The record is from RNAcentral. Lineage: Eukaryota; Ciliophora; Spirotrichea; Strombidiidae.